CCGGUACAGACAGAGACCUGUGCGGGCGGGUAGGCUGACAGACCCUAUGUGAGAUUAUCGACAGACAAAGCCAUUGUGAAGGAGCGGGCUGUGAAAUGUCUCUUUCAGUGUUCUUGGACAAUUGCAGAGAGGGUUCUUUACACAAUGGGCAACAGGGAACUUCCUCCAGCCAACAGGCUGAAAACUGACCAACCUGUCUCGUAUUGCCAACCGUGGCAGGGAACCUCUCCAACCAUAGGAAUCCCAGGAAGAUGAUUUUGAUAUUGCCCAUAAUUUCCUCCAGAAGGAUUUCUCCAAGCAGACAUCUCUCACGACUGACAGUGACGCCUCGUCUUUUCCACUCAGGAACAGCUUGAUUUGCUCUCGGACAUUCAGACUUGGUACGUCCACGGAACAUUCAAGACGCCAAUGAAAACACCAAGCAAGUUCCACUGCUAUUUGUCAUGAUGACACGCCGACAAACCGCAGAUUAUGUGAAGGUGUUUGAGACUAUACUUUUACCUGGUCGAGCUGCCAUCCUAAUAGAUGGUUGUUGCAGAUUUUGAGAAAGCGACGCGGGCGGCUACCAGAUCAUGUAUCCCCGGAGUUGCCAUCAGGAGUUACAACUUCCACUAGAACCAGGCUAUUUGGUGGAAGGUUCAGGAAGUUGGU
Long non-coding RNA from Pecten maximus, 651 nucleotides. RefSeq lists it as uncharacterized. The transcript has 5 exons. The record is from RefSeq and is a predicted model, not a curated record. NCBI's taxonomy places the organism in Eukaryota, Metazoa, Mollusca, Bivalvia, Pectinida, Pectinidae.